GACCACACUGAUGAUGUUACAGUUUCUGUGAAUCGAGGGCUAGGGUCCCAUGCUGGCUCCGCUGCUCCUCUGGGUCACCAGGCUACAGUGAAGCUGUUGCCAGAAAUGGGAUCCUAUCAGUGUGGAGGGAUCUGCCUCUUAGUGCUCUCUAGGUGUUAUAGAAGAAUUCAUGACAGUUUGGUUCUUACUGCCAGGAUGAGAUGUUCACUUAUUGGGCAUAGGUCAGAGGAAGCAGUUUGGUGUCAAUCAAUAACUAAUAUCUGAAGAGUUUUGUGUCAAAGACAAAGAUUAAGAGUCUAAGUUCUACUUAUUUCCUAAUAAAAAAAGAUGAUUGUUAUUG
Peromyscus eremicus (cactus mouse) is the source of this 340-nucleotide long non-coding RNA. RefSeq lists it as uncharacterized. The transcript is spliced from 2 exons. NCBI's taxonomy places the organism in Eukaryota, Metazoa, Chordata, Mammalia, Rodentia, Cricetidae. The record is from RefSeq and is a predicted model, not a curated record.